Molecule: non-coding RNA, 114 nt
Organism: Acanthosepion pharaonis
Lineage: Eukaryota; Metazoa; Mollusca; Cephalopoda; Sepiida; Sepiidae
Source: the annotation of a GenBank genome assembly
UUACGGCCACAUCAUGUUGAAAAAACUGCUUCCCGUAUGAUCACCGAAGUUAAGCAACGUCGAUCCUGGUCAGUACCUAGUUAGAUGACUGUUUGGGAAUCCCAGUCGCUGCAA